Long non-coding RNA from Ictalurus punctatus (channel catfish), 864 nucleotides. The record is from Ensembl. Lineage: Eukaryota; Metazoa; Chordata; Actinopteri; Siluriformes; Ictaluridae.
CACCAACACCACCGAUAACACCGCCAACACCACCGAUAACACCGUCAACACCACCGAUAACACCGCCAACACCACCAAUAACACAGUCAACACCACCGAUAACACUAUCAUCACCACCGAUAAACACCCAAACACCACCGAUAACACAGUCAAACACCACCGAUAAACACCGUCAACACCACCAAUAACACCGUCAACACCACCAAUAACACCGUCAACACCACCGAUAACACAGUCAACACCACCGAUAACACAGUCAACACCACCGAUAACACCGUCAACACCAACGCCACGAUAACACAGUCAACACCACCGAUAACACCGUCAACACCAACACCACCGAUAACACCGUCAACACCACCAAUAUCACCCUCAACACCACCGAUAAUACCCUCAGCACCAACACCACCGAUAACACCGCCAACACCACCAAUAACACAGUCAACACCACCGAUAACACCGUCAACACCACCGAUAACACCGUCAACACCAACACCACCGAUAACACCGUCAACACCACCAAUAUCACCCUCAACACCACCGAUAACAGUCAACACCACCGAUAACACAGUCAACACCACCGAUAACACCGUCAACACCACCGAUAACACCGUCAACACCACCGAUAACACCGUCAACACCACCGAUAACACAGUCAACACCACCGAUAACACAGUCAACACCACCGAUAACACCGUCAACACCACCGAUAACACAGUCAACACCACCGAUAACACAGUCAACACCACCGAUAACACCGUCAACACCACCGAUAACACAGUCAACACCACCGAUAACACAGUCAACACCACCGAUAACACCUCAACACCACCGAUAACACCGUCAACACCACCGAUAACACCG